UACGUAGGGUGCGAGCGUUAAUCGGAAUUACUGGGCGUAAAGCGUGCGCAGGCGGUUUUGUAAGACAGAUGUGAAAUCCCCGGGCUUAACCUGGGAAUGGCGUUUGUGACUGCAAGACUUGAGUGCGGCAGAGGGGGGUGGAAUUCCACGUGUAGCAGUGAAAUGCGUAGAUAUGUGGAGGAACACCGAUGGCGAAGGCAGCCCCUGGGUCGACACUGACGCUCAGGCACGAAAGCGUGGGGAGCAAACAGGAUUAGAAACCCUUGUAGU
This 270-nucleotide ribosomal RNA is filed under the name uncultured bacterium. RNAcentral describes it as "partial 16S ribosomal RNA". It matches the Rfam family "Bacterial small subunit ribosomal RNA", at positions 524 to 794 of the family's 1533-position model. The record is from RNAcentral.